AACCAACCAACCAGCCAGCAAGAAGUUUGCAAAACUCGCCGGGCAACUUGGCCAGCUCAACUCACGUUAAGUCAACUGGGCUGGAAGUGGCAGUGGCAGUGCCAACAAGCUGGCACUAACAGUGCCAAAAGCAAUUUAUUUCAAUCGGACUGCAAUCAAUACUUCAAAAGGUGAUCCCAUAUAUCUAGCCAUUCAUCUGCAGACGUUCUUAAUCGAAGUUACAGAUUGCUCAAGUCUACAGUGCAUAUCCAUAACAAUUAAACAUCCAUCAGUCCCCCACUACGGGGCAAAUUCAAAUCAAUAGACAAACAAUAAGCUCGAGUUCGCAGGCCAACUGCCAUUUACAGGAGGGCUGUGGAAGCCAUGUUGACAGCAC
This is a long non-coding RNA of Drosophila santomea, 376 nucleotides long. RefSeq lists it as uncharacterized. The record is from RefSeq and is a predicted model, not a curated record. The transcript is spliced from 3 exons. Lineage: Eukaryota; Metazoa; Arthropoda; Insecta; Diptera; Drosophilidae.